GGGGGGGGCAAGCGUUGUUCGGAAUUACUGGGCGUAAAGGGCUCGUAGGUGGCCAACUAAGUCAGACGUGAAAUCCCUCGGCUUAACCGGGGAACUGCGUCUGAUACUGGAUGGCUUGAGAUUGGGAGAGGGAUGCGGAAUUCCAGGUGUAGCGGUGAAAUGCGUAGAUAUCUGGAGGAACACCGGUGGCGAAGGCGGCAUCCUGGACCAACACUGACACUGAGGAGCGAAAGCCAGGGGAGCAAACGGGAUUAGAUACCCCGGUAGUCCUGGCCCUAAACGAUGAAUGCUUGGUGUGGCGGGUAUCGAUCCCUGCCGUGCCGAAGCUAACGCAUUAAGCAUUCCGCCUGGGGAGUACGGUCGCAAGGCUG
Molecule: ribosomal RNA, 371 nt
Filed under: uncultured bacterium
Lineage: Bacteria
Description: bacterial SSU rRNA
Rfam family: Bacterial small subunit ribosomal RNA
Source: RNAcentral